Molecule: ribosomal RNA, 253 nt
Filed under: uncultured bacterium
Lineage: Bacteria
Description: partial 16S ribosomal RNA
Rfam family: Bacterial small subunit ribosomal RNA
Source: RNAcentral
UACGGGGGGGGCAAGCGUUGUUCGGAAUUACUGGGCGUAAAGGGCUCGUAGGCGGCCCACUAAGUCAGACGUGAAAUCCCUCAGCUUAACUGGGGAACUGCGUCUGAUACUGGAUGGCUUGGAUUUGGGAGAGGGAUGCGGAAUUCCAGGUGUAGCGGUGAAAUGCGUAGAUAUCUGGAGGAACACCGGUGGCGAAGGCGGCAUCCUGGACCAACAUUGACGCUGAGGAGCGAAAGCUAGGGGAGCAAACGGG